CAUACUAAAUUACUGUUUUUUUUUGCGUGUCUGUAAAUAAAUAUCUACCAGAAAUCUUGCUUCGAUUAUUAACUAGUGGACAAUUUUGUCUAGUUGAAGAAUCUCUUUAUUUUAAAUUUGUAAGGCAAUUUUUUUUAAUAAUUUAGAAAAACCAAUAAUUACAAGUGCUUUUGCAGUUAUUUUUGACUUGGCUUUUUUGUUGUAAUCUGUUAAGAGAUAAUCGUAGG
Molecule: non-coding RNA, 227 nt
Organism: Cinara cedri
Lineage: Eukaryota; Metazoa; Arthropoda; Insecta; Hemiptera; Aphididae
Source: the annotation of a GenBank genome assembly